Molecule: ribosomal RNA, 467 nt
Filed under: uncultured bacterium
Lineage: Bacteria
Description: bacterial SSU rRNA
Rfam family: Bacterial small subunit ribosomal RNA
Source: RNAcentral
CCUACGGGAGGCAGCAGUGGGGAAUAUUGGGCAAUGGGCGCAAGCCUGACCCAGCGACGCCGCGUGAGCGAUGAAGGCCUUCGGGUCGUAAAGCUCUGUCGUAGAGGAAGAACAGCUCGGGGGCGAAUAAUUCCCGUGUCUGACGGUACUCUGCAAGAAAGCCCCGGCUAACUCCGUGCCAGCAGCCGCGGUAAAACGGAGGGGGCGAGCGUUGUUCGGAAUUACUGGGCGUAAAGGGCGCGUAGGCGGUCAGACAAGUCGGAUGUGAAAUCCUCCGGCCCAACUGGAGAACUGCGUUCGAAACUGUCUGACUUGGGUACAGGAGAGGAGAGUGGAACUCCCAGUGUAGCGGUGAAAUGCGUAGAUAUUGGGAGGAACACCAGUGGCGAAGGCGACUCUCUAGCCUGAUACCGACGCUGAGGCGCGAAAGCCAGGGGAGCGAACGGGAUUAGAUACCCCGGUAGUCC